Molecule: ribosomal RNA, 302 nt
Filed under: uncultured prokaryote
Description: partial 16S ribosomal RNA
Source: RNAcentral
CCCUACGGGGUGCCGAACCUUUUCGCAUUGGUUUAUGGGUGGGUCCGCGCCGUACCCCCAACUGGAAUCCCGACAGUGAUGAAAUCGUCAAAGAAUACCGCAAAACCGGUUAUUUCCGCUCCACAGCCACCGGCGGCUCGGGAUCACCCCAUCAAUUAACCAACUGCCCUUGGUGCGGCGCGCCGAUCAACCCGGGCACUGACAUUGUUGUCGAGACCUACAAACACGGUUCCUGCCGCACAAUUGUUUAUUGCCCAUCCAACGCUUGCAUUUUUAAUCAGAAGAAUGCUAAACGGGGGGGC